Molecule: ribosomal RNA, 1367 nt
Filed under: Lactiplantibacillus plantarum
Lineage: Bacteria; Bacillati; Bacillota; Bacilli; Lactobacillales; Lactobacillaceae
Description: bacterial SSU rRNA
Rfam family: Bacterial small subunit ribosomal RNA
Source: RNAcentral
GAUUUACAUUUGAGUGAGUGGCGAACUGGUGAGUAACACGUGGGAAACCUGCCCAGAAGCGGGGGAUAACACCUGGAAACAGAUGCUAAUACCGCAUAACAACUUGGACCGCAUGGUCCGAGUUUGAAAGAUGGCUUCGGCUAUCACUUUUGGAUGGUCCCGCGGCGUAUUAGCUAGAUGGUGGGGUAACGGCUCACCAUGGCAAUGAUACGUAGCCGACCUGAGAGGGUAAUCGGCCACAUUGGGACUGAGACACGGCCCAAACUCCUACCGGGAGGCAGCAGUAGGGAAUCUUCCACAAUGGACGAAAGUCUGAUGGAGCAACGCCGCGUGAGUGAAGAAGGGUUUCGGCUCGUAAAACUCUGUUGUUAAAGAAGAACAUAUCUGAGAGUAACUGUUCAGGUAUUGACGGUAUUUAACCAGAAAGCCACGGCUAACUACGUGCCAGCAGCCGCGGUAAUACGUAGGUGGCAAGCGUUGUCCGGAUUUAUUGGGCGUAAAGCGAGCGCAGGCGGUUUUUUAAGUCUGAUGUGAAAGCCUUCGGCUCAACCGAAGAAGUGCAUCGGAAACUGGGAAACUUGAGUGCAGAAGAGGACAGUGGAACUCCAUGUGUAGCGGUGAAAUGCGUAGAUAUAUGGAAGAACACCAGUGGCGAAGGCGGCUGUCUGGUCUGUAACUGACGCUGAGGCUCGAAAGUAUGGGUAGCAAACAGGAUUAGAUACCCUGGUAGUCCAUACCGUAAACGAUGAAUGCUAAGUGUUGGAGGGUUUCCGCCCUUCAGUGCUGCAGCUAACGCAUUAAGCAUUCCGCCUGGGGAGUACGGCCGCAAGGCUGAAACUCAAAGGAAUUGACGGGGGCCCGCACAAGCGGUGGAGCAUGUGGUUUAAUUCGAAGCUACGCGAAGAACCUUACCAGGUCUUGACAUACUAUGCAAAUCUAAGAGAUUAGACGUUCCCUUCGGGGACAUGGAUACAGGUGGUGCAUGGUUGUCGUCAGCUCGUGUCGUGAGAUGUUGGGUUAAGUCCCGCAACGAGCGCAACCCUUAUUAUCAGUUGCCAGCAUUAAGUUGGGCACUCUGGUGAGACUGCCGGUGACAAACCGGAGGAAGGUGGGGAUGACGUCAAAUCAUCAUGCCCCUUAUGACCUGGGCUACACACGUGCUACAAUGGAUGGUACAACGAGUUGCGAACUCGCGAGAGUAAGCUAAUCUCUUAAAGCCAUUCUCAGUUCGGAUUGUAGGCUGCAACUCGCCUACAUGAAGUCGGAAUCGCUAGUAAUCGCGGAUCAGCAUGCCGCGGUGAAUACGUUCCCGGGCCUUGUACACACCGCCCGUCACACCAUGAGAGUUUGUAACACCCAAAGUCGGU